AGUGAACGCUGGCGGUAGGCCUAACACAUGCCAGUCGAACGGCAGCACAGUAAGAUCUUGCUCUUACGGGUGGCGAGUGGCGGACGGGUGAGGAAUACAUCGGAAUCUACUUUUUCGUGGGGGAUAACGUAGGGAAACUUACGCUAAUACCGCAUACGACCUACGGGUGAAAGCAGUGGAUCUUCGGACCUUUCGCGAUUGAAUGAGCCGAUGUCGGAUUAGCUAGUUGGGGGGGUAACGGCCCACCAAGGCGACGAUCCGUAGCUGGUCUGAGAGGAUGAUCAGCCACACUGGAACUGAGACACGGUCCAGACUCCUACGGGAGGCAGCAGUGGGGAAUAUUGGACAAUGGGCGCAAGCCUGACCCAGCCAUACCGCGUGGGUGAAGAAGGCCUUCGGGUUGUAAAGCCCUUUUGUUGGGAAAGAAAAGCAGCAGGUUAAUACCCCGCUGUUCUGACGGUACCCAAAGAAUAAGCACCGGCUAACUUCGUG
This 492-nucleotide ribosomal RNA is filed under the name uncultured bacterium. Its description in RNAcentral is "partial 16S ribosomal RNA". It matches the Rfam family "Bacterial small subunit ribosomal RNA", at positions 29 to 507 of the family's 1533-position model. The record is from RNAcentral.